GAUGAACGCUGGCGGCGUGCCUAAUACAUGCAAGUCGAGCGAACAGAUGAGGAGCUUGCUCCUCUGACGUUAGCGGCGGACGGGUGAGUAACACGUGGAUAACCUACCUAUAAGACUGGGAUAACUUCGGGAAACCGGAGCUAAUACCGGAUAAUAUAUUGAACCGCAUGAUUCAAUAGUGAAAGACGGUUUUGCUGUCACUUAUAGAUGGAUCCGCGCCGCAUUAGCUAGUUGGCAAGGUAACGGCUUACCAAGGCAACGAUGCGUAGCCGACCUGAGAGGGUGAUCGGCCACACUGGAACUGAGACACGGUCCAGACUCCUACGGGAGGCAGCAGUAGGGAAUCUUCCGCAAUGGGCGAAAGCCUGACGGAGCAACGCCGCGUGAGUGAUGAAGGUCUUCGGAUCGUAAAACUCUGUUAUUAGGGAAGAACAAAUGUGUAAGUAACUAUGCACGUCUUGACGGUACCUAAUCAGAAAGCCACGGCUAACUACGUG
This 497-nucleotide ribosomal RNA is filed under the name uncultured bacterium. RNAcentral describes it as "partial 16S ribosomal RNA". It matches the Rfam family "Bacterial small subunit ribosomal RNA", at positions 28 to 507 of the family's 1533-position model. The record is from RNAcentral.